UCAUCGUCUGGUGGUUAGGACGUCACGUUGCGGCCGUGACAACCCCAGUUCAAAUCCGGGUAGCGACUAU
Molecule: transfer RNA, 70 nt
Filed under: Perkinsus olseni
Lineage: Eukaryota; Perkinsozoa; Perkinsida; Perkinsidae
Description: tRNA-Arg
Rfam family: tRNA
About the family: Transfer RNA (tRNA) molecules are approximately 80 nucleotides in length.
Source: RNAcentral